UACGUAGGGUGCGAGCGUUGUCCGGAUUUAUUGGGCGUAAAGGGCUCGUAGGCGGCGUGUCGCGUCGGGGAGUGAAAGCCCGCUGCUUAACGGCGGGUUGGCUUCCGGUACGGGCAUCGCUGGAGUGCGGCAGGGGAGACUGGAAUUCCUGGUGUAGCGGUGGAAUGCGCAGAUAUCAGGAGGAACACCGGUGGCGAAGGCGGGUCUCUGGGCCGUUACUGACGCUGAGGAGCGAAAGCGUGGGGGAGCGAACAGG
This 256-nucleotide ribosomal RNA is filed under the name uncultured bacterium. RNAcentral describes it as "partial 16S ribosomal RNA". It matches the Rfam family "Bacterial small subunit ribosomal RNA", at positions 524 to 776 of the family's 1533-position model. The record is from RNAcentral.